AGAGUUUGAUCCUGGCUCAGAACGAACGCUGGCGGCGUGCCUAACACAUGCAAGUCGAGCGAGAAAGUCCCGGCAACGGGAUGAGUAAAGCGGCAAACGGGUGAGUAACGCGUGGGUAAUCUACCCUACGGAUCGGGAUAACCUGCCGAAAGGUGGACUAAUACCGGAUGAUGUUCUCGCGGUGAUUCCGUGGGAACCAAAGGGGGCGAGCGUAAGCAGCUCUCACCGAAGGAGGAGCCUGCGUCCGAUUAGCUAGUUGGUGGGGUAAUGGCCUACCAAGGCGACGAUCGGUAGCCGGCCUGAGAGGGCGAUCGGCCACACUGGAACUGAGACACGGUCCAGACUCCUACGGGAGGCAGCAGUGGGGAAUAUUGCGCAAUGGGCGAAAGCCUGACGCAGCGACGCCGCGUGGGUGAUGAAGGCCUUCGGGUCGUAAAGCCCUGUCUGGUGGAACGAAACGCCUGGCGGCCAAUACCUGCCGGGUUUGACGGUACCACCGAAGGAAGCCCCGGCUAACUACGCGCCAGCAGCCGCGGUAAGACGUAGGGGGCGAGCGUUGUUCGGAUUUACUGGGCGUAAAGCGCGCGUAGGCGGCCAGAUAAGUCGGGUGUGAAAGCCCUCGGCUCAACCGAGGUUCCGCAUCCGAUACUGCUUGGCUGGAGUCUAGGAGAGGAGAGCGGAAUUCCCAGUGUAGCGGUGAAAUGCGUAGAUAUUGGGAGGAACACCCGUGGCGAAGGCGGCUCUCUGGACUAGUACUGACGCUGAGGCGCGAAAGCUAGGGGAGCGAACGGGAUUAGAUACCCUGGUAGUCC
This 812-nucleotide ribosomal RNA is filed under the name uncultured bacterium. RNAcentral's name for it is "bacterial SSU rRNA". It matches the Rfam family "Bacterial small subunit ribosomal RNA", at positions 8 to 796 of the family's 1533-position model. The record is from RNAcentral.